Molecule: non-coding RNA, 30 nt
Filed under: Mus musculus (house mouse)
Lineage: Eukaryota; Metazoa; Chordata; Mammalia; Rodentia; Muridae
Source: RNAcentral
UAUUUUGAUUUCUCCAUGGCUGCCAGUCUU